RNAcentral lists this ribosomal RNA (470 nucleotides) under uncultured bacterium. RNAcentral describes it as "SSU rRNA". It matches the Rfam family "Bacterial small subunit ribosomal RNA", at positions 26 to 518 of the family's 1533-position model. The record is from RNAcentral.
AGGACGAACGCUGGCGGCGUGCUUAACACAUGCAAGUCGAGCGGAAAGGCCCUUCGGGGUACUCGAGCGGCGAACGGGUGAGUAACACGUGAGCAAUCUGCCCUUAGCUUCGGGAUAGCUCCGGGAAACCGGAAUUAAUACCGAAUAUGACUUCGGCCGACAUCGGCCUUGGUGGAAAGUUUUUCGGCUAGGGAUGAACUCGCGGCCUAUCAGCUUGUUGGUGGGGUAAUGGCCUACCAAGGCGACGACGGGUAGCCGGCCUGAGAGGGCGCGACGGACGACACUGGAACUGAAACACGGUCCAGACUCCUACGGGAGGCAGCAGUGGGGAAUUUGCGCAAUGGGGGAAACCCUGACGCAGCAACGCCGCGUGGAGGAUGAAGCCCCUUGGGGUGUAAACUCCUUUCGAUCGGGAAGAUAAUGACGGUACCGAUAUAAGAAGCCCCGGCUAACUUCGUGCCAGCAGCCGC